RNAcentral lists this ribosomal RNA (900 nucleotides) under human gut metagenome. Its description in RNAcentral is "bacterial SSU rRNA". It matches the Rfam family "Bacterial small subunit ribosomal RNA", at positions 8 to 900 of the family's 1533-position model. The record is from RNAcentral.
AGAGUUUGAUCCUGGCUCAGGAUGAACGCUAGCUACAGGCUUAACACAUGCAAGUCGCGGGGCAGCAUGAAGGAUGCUUGCAUCCUUUGAUGGCGACCGGCGCACGGGUGAGUAACGCGUAUCCAACCUGCCUGUUACCACGGCACAGCCCGUCGAAAGGCGGAUUAAUGCCGUAUGUGGUCCUUUGCGGGCAUCUAAUUAGGACUAAAGGUUCAGCGGUAACAGAUGGGGAUGCGUCCGAUUAGCUAGACGGCGGGGUAACGGCCCACCGUGGCUACGAUCGGUAGGGGUUCUGAGAGGAAGGUCCCCCACACUGGAACUGAGACACGGUCCAGACUCCUACGGGAGGCAGCAGUGAGGAAUAUUGGUCAAUGGGCGUAAGCCUGAACCAGCCAAGUAGCGUGAGGGAAGACUGCCCUAUGGGUUGUAAACCUCUUUUGUGCGGGGAUAAAGUGAGGGACGUGUCCCUUAUUGCAGGUACCGCACGAAUAAGGACCGGCUAAUUCCGUGCCAGCAGCCGCGGUAAUACGGAAGGUCCGGGCGUUAUCCGGAUUUAUUGGGUUUAAAGGGAGCGCAGGCCGUCCUUUAAGCGUGCUGUGAAAUGCCGCGGCUCAACCGUGGCACUGCAGCGCGAACUGGAGGACUUGAGUACGCACGAGGUAGGCGGAAUUCGUGGUGUAGCGGUGAAAUGCUUAGAUAUCACGAAGAACUCCGAUUGCGAAGGCAGCUUACCGGAGCGCAACUGACGCUGAGGCUCGAAAGCGCGGGUAUCGAACAGGAUUAGAUACCCUGGUAGUCCGCGCGGUAAACGAUGGAUGCCCGCCGUUGGGUUUUAGAAUUCAGCGGCCAAGCGAAAGCGUUAAGCAUCCCACCUGGGGAGUACGCCGGCAACGGUGAAAC